RNAcentral lists this small nucleolar RNA (77 nucleotides) under Oryza sativa (Asian cultivated rice). RNAcentral's name for it is "box C/D snoRNA J32.1". The record is from RNAcentral. Lineage: Eukaryota; Viridiplantae; Streptophyta; Magnoliopsida; Poales; Poaceae.
AGCCUGAGAAGGACAUUACCAAGAUUGUCAAUGCUCUGCAGACUCUCUAUGAUGUUCUGAUUCGUGACUUCCAGGCU